UCAAUUAGUUUUGUUUUAAUUAGACUUAGCAGGAAGAAGAAAGGCAUGAUGAGGAUUGUUUUAUUGUCAUCUGAUUCUUAUUGAUGAAUCUAUACCUCCUACUCAUUCUGAGUGCCUUCUCUUGCUCUUAAUUUUCAGUCA
Molecule: small RNA, 141 nt
Filed under: Arabidopsis thaliana (thale cress)
Lineage: Eukaryota; Viridiplantae; Streptophyta; Magnoliopsida; Brassicales; Brassicaceae
Description: ATSL307670
Rfam family: Small nucleolar RNA Z105 (bases 41-111)
About the family: This family consists of several snoRNA Z105 sequences which are members of the C/D class of snoRNA which contain the C (UGAUGA) and D (CUGA) box motifs. This family seems to be found exclusively in plants.
Source: RNAcentral